UAGAGUCGAUUCAAAUGUAGGCAAACUCUUCCAGUGUUAUUUGCAUAACAAUAAGCCGCGCUGAUCUCUGACACUCCCACCCGAGCAGCGUUUCUGGAAUCGAGCAGGAUCACAAGACGCCAACAAUGACGCAACAUCACCUCACAGCAAGAUCUCAUGUGUCCAAACUCCAAACAGUCCUUAUGAGCUUUUCUCUUGCCUUUCAAUGGCCGUGGCGCUCUACAAGUCUCAACUUCACCUGUUGAGCCAGAUCUGUUGUUUUAUUCCACCUGCCAAGGAUUAUGCUAUAUGAGGACUUUCAGCGU
Molecule: long non-coding RNA, 305 nt
Organism: Sinocyclocheilus anshuiensis
Lineage: Eukaryota; Metazoa; Chordata; Actinopteri; Cypriniformes; Cyprinidae
Exons: 3
Source: RefSeq, a predicted model, not a curated record